UAGGCAGUGACAUUGCUAAAUACCUACUGAUGCCAAACCACCAGAAGCUCUGAGCAGUCUUCAGCAUGACGGUGAAGGUGCACAUUGAAUAUUGCAAUGGAUGAGGGUACGCCUCCCGCUAUCGGGACUUGGCCUUUGAGAUAAAGCAGGCUGUGCCCGAUGCGGUUGUGACUGGGAGGACUGGACGCCCGUCCAGCUUUGAAGUCACUUUAAAUGGCAAACUCAUCUACUCUAAACUGCAGACUCAUGGAUUUCCAGAUACAAAAGAGG
Molecule: long non-coding RNA, 270 nt
Organism: Alosa alosa (allis shad)
Lineage: Eukaryota; Metazoa; Chordata; Actinopteri; Clupeiformes; Clupeidae
Exons: 3
Source: RefSeq, a predicted model, not a curated record